UACGUAGGGCGCAAGCGUUGUCCGGAAUUAUUGGGCGUAAAGAGCUCGUAGGCGGUUUGUCGCGUCUGCCGUGAAAGCCCGGGGCUUAACUCCGGGUCUGCGGUGGAUACGGGCAGACUAGAGGCAGGUAGGGGAGAACGGAAUUCCCGGUGUAGCGGUGAAAUGCGCAGAUAUCAGGAGGAACACCGAUGGCGAAGGCAGGUCUCUGGGCCACUACUGACGCUGAGAAGCGAAAGCAUGGGGAGCGAACAGG
Molecule: ribosomal RNA, 253 nt
Filed under: uncultured bacterium
Lineage: Bacteria
Description: partial 16S ribosomal RNA
Rfam family: Bacterial small subunit ribosomal RNA
Source: RNAcentral